Molecule: ribosomal RNA, 330 nt
Filed under: uncultured eukaryote
Lineage: Eukaryota
Description: partial 18S ribosomal RNA
Rfam family: Eukaryotic small subunit ribosomal RNA
Source: RNAcentral
CCCUUAGAUGUUCUGGGCCGCACGCGCGCUACACUGACGCAUUCAACGAGUCUAAAACCUGGUCUGAUAGGGCUGGGUAAUCUUUUGAAUGUGCGUCGUGAGUGGGAUAAAUGAUUGUAAUUCUUCAUUUUCAACGAGGAAUGCCUAGUAAACGCAAGUCAUCAGCUUGCAUUGAUUACGUCCCUGCCCUUUGUACACACCGCCCGUCGCUCCUACCGAUUGAAUGAUCCGAUGAAUAUCAUGGACUGAGAGUGUUAGAGUUUUCGGACUUCUACACUUCUCGGGAAGUGAAGUGAAUCUUAUCAUUUAGAGGAAGGAGAAGUCGUAACA